CAUGGCUCAGGACGAACGCUGGCGGCGUGCCUAAUACAUGCAAGUAGAACGCUGAAGGAGGAGCUUGCUUCUCGGGAUGAGUUGAGAAAGGGUGAGUAACGCGUAGGUAACCUGCCUGGUAGCGGGGGGUAACUAUUGGAAACGAUAGCUAAUACCGCAUAACAGUAGAUAUCGCAUGAUGACUGCUUAAAAGGUGCAACUGCACCACUACCAGAUGGACCUGCGUUGUAUUAGCUAGUUGGUGAGGUAACGGCUUACCAAGGCAACGAUACAUAGCCGACCUGAGAGGGUGAUCGGCCACACUGGGACUGAGACACGGCCCAGACUCCUACGG
RNAcentral lists this ribosomal RNA (334 nucleotides) under uncultured bacterium. RNAcentral describes it as "bacterial SSU rRNA". It matches the Rfam family "Bacterial small subunit ribosomal RNA", at positions 18 to 344 of the family's 1533-position model. The record is from RNAcentral.